Molecule: non-coding RNA, 23 nt
Filed under: Arabidopsis thaliana (thale cress)
Lineage: Eukaryota; Viridiplantae; Streptophyta; Magnoliopsida; Brassicales; Brassicaceae
Source: RNAcentral
UACGAGCCACGUUCUAUUCUGCC